RNAcentral lists this long non-coding RNA (209 nucleotides) under Mytilus galloprovincialis (Mediterranean mussel). The record is from RNAcentral. Lineage: Eukaryota; Metazoa; Mollusca; Bivalvia; Mytilida; Mytilidae.
GUGUCAUUUUGGUCUAUUGUGGAGAGUUUUCUCAUUGGAAAUCAUACCAAAUCUUCUUUUUUUAUAUUUAGUUCUUUAUUCAGAUUUUUAAAGACUUGUUUACCUUUUUUGGGAUGACUGUCAAUUUUUCGUAGAAGUCUCCUUGGCUUCUUUCUGCAUACUUUUUACUUCUUACGUUAACAAGUGCAUGCACUACUCUUCAAGGUAAG